CGAAAUAAGUAUAACGUGCAGCUGUUUACAGACAGGCUGGAUGACGUGGUUCACAUAGUGGUGAAGAUCGCUGGCUUAAAUAGAUGGAUUAAUGUGAGGAGAUCAUUGCAAAAGUUUUCAAUUUCAUCAGAGUCAGAUGUGCUACAUGUGUUGAUAACUGGACGGAGUUAAUUACGGACUAUUUCCCCGCACCGGUAGGUGAGGAGACGAGAGGAGAGAGAGACAGCCGGACCUCCAGCUAGGACGCUAACGGUCCGGCUAGUUAGCCAAGAUAAUGCCGGAGAGAGUGAGUUUUGGAGGAAGAUGAGGAGGAAGAUAUUGCGCUCAUGGAUGAGCCGAUGGUAGCAUACAAUGUCUCUGACUGUAGUUAUCUAAACGAGGACAAUGUUAAAGAGACUGCGAUAGCUCGGGAGUACAAGUCGAGCCGCAAGCUUCACAACAGCGGGCCUGCUAGCUGCUGUUCACCGGAGACGAGAGAAGACGUGACCCAGUUAAAGAGAUGACUGAUGAUGAAAACAUUUGGUCCAUCUUGUGAAGCUCCAUACGACUCUAUGAGAGGAUGCAGUGUGAGAAGCAGCAACACCAGCGGACUGCCUACUUCCUUGAUGCAUGUGACAGUUUAAUUAUGAAAUAAUAAUGAACAAAUAUGAAAUAAUAUAAAAUAUAUUCUGUAUUAUUAUAUUAAAAGGGCCAUUUUCUGUAUAUAUUUUUAAUUGUAUGGAUAUGCACUUGUAAGUAACUAAGUAAAUGUGUGCAUGUGGCUUGAUAUUUAAUAUUUUAUAAAUAUUCUUGAUAUUAAUAUUCUUUAAGUAUUAUUAUAUUUAAAUACCCAUCAUAUAUUCUGUAUUACAUCAUAUGUACAGUAUAUUCUUUCAUACUUUAUCAUUAUUGUAUUCCAUAUGUUUUGGAUACUUAUCUACAUGGGCUUCUGGGCCUGUACUGUGUUGUGUAUUGCUUUGAUUUUUGAAUUUAUUGGUGUGUUAUGUUGUUUAACAGAGGGUUUUUUUGCUUUGAUUUUUGAAUUUAGUAGUGUGUUAUGUUGUUUAAUAGAGGGGUUUUGCUGUGAUUUUUAAUUCAGUUAUUUCUUAUUUUUUAAAUAUGUUAUCUUUGAUUUUUAAUUGUGUUCAGUUCAAUAAAGAUGAUGUUAAAGUCA
This is a long non-coding RNA of Centropristis striata (black sea bass), 1153 nucleotides long. RefSeq lists it as uncharacterized. The transcript has 2 exons. NCBI's taxonomy places the organism in Eukaryota, Metazoa, Chordata, Actinopteri, Perciformes, Serranidae. The record is from RefSeq and is a predicted model, not a curated record.